UACGUAGGGUGCAAGCGUUAAUCGGACUUACUGGGCGUAAAGCGUGCGCAGGCGGUUUUAUAAGUCAGCUGUGAAAUCCCCGGGCUUAACCUGGGAAUGGCAGUUGAGACUGUAAGGCUAGAGUGUGUUAGAGGGGGGUAGAAUUCCACGUGUAGCAGUGAAAUGCGUAGAGAUGUGGAGGAACACGGAUGGCGAAGGCAGCCCCCUGGGAUAACACUGACGCUCAUGCACGAAAGCGUGGGGAGCAAACAGG
Molecule: ribosomal RNA, 253 nt
Filed under: uncultured bacterium
Lineage: Bacteria
Description: partial 16S ribosomal RNA
Rfam family: Bacterial small subunit ribosomal RNA
Source: RNAcentral